Molecule: ribosomal RNA, 326 nt
Filed under: uncultured eukaryote
Lineage: Eukaryota
Description: partial 18S ribosomal RNA
Rfam family: Eukaryotic small subunit ribosomal RNA
Source: RNAcentral
CCCUUAGAUGUUCUGGGCUGCACGCGCGCUACACUGAUGCACUCAACGAGUUUACGACCUUGCCCGAUAGGGUUGGGUAAUCUUUUUAAAAUGCAUCGUGAUGGGGAUAGAUUAUUGCAAUUAUUAAUCUUCAACGAGGAAUUCCUAGUAAGCGCGAGUCAUCAGCUCGUGCUGAUUACGUCCCUGCCCUUUGUACACACCGCCCGUCGCUCCUACCGAUUGAGUGCUCAGGUGAAUAAUUCGGACUGCAGCAAUGUUUGGAUCCCGAACGUUGCAGCGGAAAGUUUAGUGAACCUUAUCACUUAGAGGAAGGAGAAGUCGUAACA